RNAcentral lists this ribosomal RNA (514 nucleotides) under uncultured bacterium. Its description in RNAcentral is "partial 16S ribosomal RNA". It matches the Rfam family "Bacterial small subunit ribosomal RNA", at positions 355 to 861 of the family's 1533-position model. The record is from RNAcentral.
UGGGGAAUUUUGGACAAUGGACGCAAGCCUGAUCCAGCCAUGCCGCGUGCGGGAAGAAGGCCUUCGGGUUGUAAACCGCUUUUGUCAGGGAAGAAAUCUUCUGAGUUAAUACCUCGGGAGGAUGACGGUACCUGAAGAAUAAGCACCGGCUAACUACGUGCCAGCAGCCGCGGUAAUACGUAGGGUGCAAGCGUUAAUCGGAAUUACUGGGCGUAAAGCGUGCGCAGGCGGUUUUGUAAGACAGAGGUGAAAUCCCCGGGCUCAACCUGGGAACUGCCUUUGUGACUGCAAGGCUUGAGUGCGGCAGAGGGGGAUGGAAUUCCGCGUGUAGCAGUGAAAUGCGUAGAUAUGCGGAGGAACACCGAUGGCGAAGGCAAUCCCCUGGGCCUGCACUGACGCUCAUGCACGAAAGCGUGGGGAGCAAACAGGAUUAGAUAGCCCUGGUAGUCCACGCCCUAAACGAUGUCAACUGGUUGUUGGGAAGGUUCCUUCUCAGUAACGUAGCUAACGCGUG